Molecule: long non-coding RNA, 994 nt
Filed under: Apteryx owenii (little spotted kiwi)
Lineage: Eukaryota; Metazoa; Chordata; Aves; Apterygiformes; Apterygidae
Description: lncRNA (ENSAOWG00000003921.1)
Source: RNAcentral
GCAGCACAGAGUGUCGAGAGCACCAGCUCUGCUGGGGGUUUCAGCAAGGUCCCUGGGCCUGGAAGCUCCCACCUUCAGGGUCACCUUCAGGCCAUGACUGCCAAGAGCCAAGAGAUCGUGGUGCUACCCUGCUCAAAUGCCAGGCUGCACCUGCCUUUUGGGAGCCAGGAUGGCGCAGCAGAUGUGGCAGCAUCCUCAGCAGAGGAUGUUUGUGGAGCUGCCGGCCACACAGUUGGGCACAGGGAGCACCAGUGGUCACCCAGUGGGUCCCCUGGGUCAUGGGACAAGAGCUGCCCAGAAGAUGACUACGGACUGGUGGCCAACAAGAGGAGGUCCUACUCGUUCACCUCAGCCACCUACAAGAAGAUCACACCCAUAGCUGUGCCCAAGGAUCCCGUGGAGGCCGGGAGCAGCUACUCCAUCACACUAUACAUCGGGGAGCAAGCGCCAGCCGUGCCCAGGACACGCUGCCACUCCUUUGUAGCCAGGCCAGGAAGCCCACGGGAGGUGCUGGGGGAGAAGACCCAGGGCCCUCCUCGUCCCAAGAACAAAUCCGUCUUCAAGAAGUUCUUUGGGAAGAAGGAGUGAGCCCCAGACAAGGAGGAGAAAAGCAAAAGCCUGCCCCUUUUCCUCCUCUCAGGCCUGCUUCAGGUGCAACCUUAGUAAAGUCUCUCCUCCCAGCACCAGCCCUCACUGCUCGCCGUCGCCUUGGGGCACCCAGCACUACGAGGGGGAGAGACGCUGUAGCAAGCGGCUCUGCUUCAGCACAGCCCCAGGGGGCUCCUCACUCCCAGCCACGGCCGCUGCCUUCCUCAGCCAGGCGCUGAGCCCCUUGUCUGCCCCGCGGGCCCCUUCCCAGCAGGCAGGGGCACUCUCCUUGCCCUCGCCAAGCUGGUGGUGGCUCUCCCUGCCGCUGAUUCAGCUGGAUCCCCAGGCAUCCCUCCUACACGCAGCACAAGCAGGGUUGAGGGGGUUGUUAUUUUUAUUAAAAAAC